Molecule: small RNA, 100 nt
Filed under: Klebsiella quasivariicola
Lineage: Bacteria; Pseudomonadati; Pseudomonadota; Gammaproteobacteria; Enterobacterales; Enterobacteriaceae
Description: partial RtT sRNA
Rfam family: RtT RNA
About the family: This family represents a bacterial cis-regulatory element known as RtT RNA. The exact function of RtT is unknown although it is thought that it may be involved in changing the cellular response in relation to amino acid starvation.
Source: RNAcentral
GAUUCUGCCCUACGGGGAAGGAUGAGAAGCUUCGACUAAGGUUCGACUCGAGCGUAGCGAGAGAACGUUGCCGCAGGCAACGGCCCGAAGGGCGAGGCGC